This is a long non-coding RNA of Hipposideros armiger (great roundleaf bat), 1810 nucleotides long. RefSeq lists it as uncharacterized. The record is from RefSeq and is a predicted model, not a curated record. The transcript is spliced from 3 exons. Lineage: Eukaryota; Metazoa; Chordata; Mammalia; Chiroptera; Hipposideridae.
GGGGUGGGGCUGGCUCCUGACUGCCUCAUUUCUCACUCCUCAUGCCUGCAAACCUUACACUCUGGCUGGAACAAUCUUCCAUCAGUUCCAUGGUGGCUAUUCUCUCCUCCAAGCCUUGACACAUCCUGUGUCCUCAGCCUGUGCACUUUUCUUCCUCUUUUCUACCUCACCCCCACCCCCAAUUUCUGGAUGCCUUCUCUUUCAGGCUUGAAAUCAAAUGCCCCUUCCUCCAGGAAACUGCUUUGCUCCCCUCCUGUGUGCUCAGCAUCCUAUGUCGUAAAGCAUCAUCCCGCUGUGUGAUGAUGUGGACCCUCUGGUAGGCUGGCUCUCCAUGAAGACAAGCUUUGUGUCCACCAGGCACGUCACUGUGCCCCUCGCUCCUGGCACAGCGCUCAAUACACAAAUGAUCGUGAAUUACAGCCCAAGUACCUGUGAUCAAUAGAUGAUAUUCCUGGGACUGAGGAGAGGGCACCGCCAGUAUCCAUGUGGGCCUGGGAAGGCUGCCAGCCCCUGGUGGGAAGAGGAGAGGGGUAUCUGCUGAGGAGAGGGGCCAAAGAAGGAAAGAAGAGAACGGAAUAUGAAAUUUCCAAACCAACAGAGGGAAAAGAGGGAAUAAACAAAACCUGAUCAAUAUGAAUGGUGGCAGGAAGUGAGCCAAACAGAAACAGAAUAAAACCGCAAAGUAAACAGAAAAAUCCUUGCAGCGGAAUGCACCAAGAAGGAAGGUAGAAUCCGGAUUCUGCCUUUCACAUCUGUAAGUGUGACUUUGGGCAAAUGACUGAAUGACAUCACUUCUCUGACCUCGAUUUCUGCAUCUGCAAACUGGAGAUAAUGGUUUUGUUAAAGGGUUAUAACAGCACGUUCCAUUUAAGGGCUACUAGGAGGAUUAAGUGCAGCGAGCACCCAACAAGAGGGAGCUGUCAUCAACAUCCUCACAGUCUCUCUAUGCCAGGCACAGCCCUAUGUGUGUCCCAUGCACCAUCUCACCCCUCAUCACAGCCCCAUGAGGCAGGUACCACUUAUUGUUGUCACUUUAAUGAUGAGGACACAGGCUCAGAGGAGAGAGGCUUGCCAAAGUCACACACCUGGGGGAUUGGACACACACUGGAGAUCUCUGACCCUGAAUCUACCUGGUGGCUGAAUGACUUUGGGCAGCUGACACCACCUCUCUGGUCCUUAGUUUCCUAAUCUGCGCAUUGUGGGCACACAGGGUGAACACGAGGCUGGGCAGAAUGAAGAUGUGGACCCUAGGCACCAUUCCCAGCACUGGGUAACCGGUCAAUAAAUGCUGUUAUCACCUGCGUUGUGCAGGCAAGGAGACUGAGGCUUAGACAGCCCAAGAGUUGGUGUGACCUUGCUGAUCUGUGCUGACCUGUAGGCAUCAGGCCCCGGCUGGAGUGUGAGCUCUAGGAAGUGGCCUUGUCUGUCUGGUUUCACUGACUUAUACCCAGGGCUGACCUGGGGAAUGAAUGAAUGAGUGAAUGAAUGAAGUGUCCUUGGUUCCUACUCUAUACAUCCAUUAUUCCCAUAAGAAUGUUCUUCAUGCCCAGGAGCCACCCCAACGGGAAGCAACUCUGAGAGCCCUCAUGACUGCAGGAUACAAGUGAGCCUCUCAUUAGGACACAGGACGUCCAGCUGUGUUUUCCUCCAUCACACAAUCACCAUCUGUUACAUUGUACACCUUCAUCUCUUAUGAUCUGUUACCCACAGUAUCACACCAACUCCACGGGAGCAGAGACUUUAUUCAUUGCUGGAUCUUAUGUGGCAGUUGCUUAAUAAAGUGACAUCACUUGAUGUUGAGGUGACAUCA